UACAGAGGGUGCGAGCGUUAAUCGGAAUUACUGGGCGUAAAGCGUGCGUAGACGGUUUCGUAAGUCGGGUGUGAAAUCCCCGGGCUCAACCUGGGAAUUGCAUUCGAAACUGCGAGGCUAGGGUACGGAAGAGGGAAGCGGAAUUUCUGGUGUAGCGGUGAAAUGCGUAGAUAUCAGAAGGGACAUCAGUGGCGAAAGCGGCGCACUGGACCAUUACUGACGCUGAUGCACGAAAGCUAGGGGAGCAAACAGG
RNAcentral lists this ribosomal RNA (253 nucleotides) under uncultured bacterium. Its description in RNAcentral is "partial 16S ribosomal RNA". It matches the Rfam family "Bacterial small subunit ribosomal RNA", at positions 524 to 776 of the family's 1533-position model. The record is from RNAcentral.